AACCGGUUUCGGCCGGGGAUUAGUGGCGAACGGGUGAGUAACACGUGGGCAAUCUGCCCUGCACUCUGGGACAAGCCCUGGAAACGGGGUCUAAUACCGGAUAUGACAUGGGAUCGCAUGGUCUCGUGUGGAAAGCUCCGGCGGUGCAGGAUGAGCCCGCGGCCUAUCAGCUUGUUGGUGGGGUGAUGGCCUACCAAGGCGACAACGGGUAGCCGGCCUGAGAGGGCGACCGGCCACACUGGGACUGAGACACGGCCCAAACUCCUACGGGAGGCAGCAGUGGGGAAUAUUGC
This 293-nucleotide ribosomal RNA is filed under the name Streptomyces sp. Its description in RNAcentral is "partial 16S ribosomal RNA". It matches the Rfam family "Bacterial small subunit ribosomal RNA", at positions 72 to 367 of the family's 1533-position model. Lineage: Bacteria; Bacillati; Actinomycetota; Actinomycetes; Kitasatosporales; Streptomycetaceae. The record is from RNAcentral.